Molecule: non-coding RNA, 585 nt
Organism: Microtus ochrogaster (prairie vole)
Lineage: Eukaryota; Metazoa; Chordata; Mammalia; Rodentia; Cricetidae
Source: the annotation of a RefSeq genome assembly
AUGUGGCACUUUUUCAUUCUGUGCCUCUGUGUACGCAUGGCCUCUGUGACUACAGAUUCCAUGGUAACUUUGCUGGAGCAGAAACCUAGGUGGGCUCUGGUACGUCGUGGUCAAGCUGUGACCCUGCGCUGUAUCUUGAAGAAUUCUCAGUACCCCUGGAUGAGCUGGUACCAGCAGGAUCUCCAACAGCAACUACAGUGGCUAGUCUCUCUGCGGAGUUCUGGGGACAAAGAGGCCAAAUCUCUCCCCGGUGCUGAUUAUCUGGCCACACGAGUCACUGAUACAGAGCUGAGGCUCCAAGUGGCCAACAUGACCCAGGGCAGAACUUUGCUCUGCACCUGCAGUACAGACACAGUGACUUCCCCAUCCCUUUGCCUUAGCAAGAAGUGGACUCUCCUGGUUAUCCUUGUUCUUUUCCUGCCUGAGCCAUACCGUAACUUAACCUCAGGUUCCCACGAGCUCAGAGCACAGACUUUCGGGCUUCCAUCGGUGAGCUUGGAAGACGUCCUUUAUCCUCCUACACUUCUGUUUCUGAUUCUGUUGGAUGGAGGCAGCAAAUGUGGCCAUCCCAGAAGGCAGCUGUGA